This 430-nucleotide ribosomal RNA is filed under the name uncultured eukaryote. Its description in RNAcentral is "bacterial SSU rRNA". It matches the Rfam family "Eukaryotic small subunit ribosomal RNA", at positions 1217 to 1658 of the family's 1831-position model. The record is from RNAcentral.
ACCAGGUCAGGACACGGUAAGGAUUGACGGACUGAAGGCUCUUUCUCGAUUCCGUGGAAAGUGGUGCAUGGCCGUUUUUGGUUGGUGGAUCGAUCCGUCUGGUUAAUUCCGUUAACGAACGAGACCUCGGCACUCCGAAUAGCGCGGCGGACGUCGCGGCCUCCGGGCCGUCUUCCGCACGAGCUUCUUAGAGGGACCGUCCCCCGCCGGGGAAGGAGGUGCGAGGCAACGACAGGUCUGUGAUGCCCUUAGAUGUUCUGGGCCGCACGCGCAUUACACUGACGCGUCCAACGGGUGACUCCCGACCCGAAGGGGCCGGGGAAUCCGCAAGGCGCGUCGUGAUGGGGAUUGAACGUUGCAAUUGUUGUUCACGAACGAGGAAUUCCUAGUAGGCGCGGGUCAUCAACCCGCGCCGAUUACGUCCCUGCCC